UAGGGAAUCCUCCACAAUGGGCGAAAGCCUGAUGGAGCAACGCCGCGUGUGUGAUGAAGGGUUUCGGCUCGUAAAACACUGUUGUAAGAGAAGAAUGACAUUGAGAGUAACUGUUCAAUGUGUGACGGUAUCUUACCAGAAAGGAAUGGCUAAAUACGUGCUAG
This 164-nucleotide ribosomal RNA is filed under the name uncultured bacterium. RNAcentral's name for it is "partial 16S rRNA". It matches the Rfam family "Bacterial small subunit ribosomal RNA", at positions 355 to 511 of the family's 1533-position model. The record is from RNAcentral.